Molecule: unclassified non-coding RNA, 381 nt
Filed under: fungal sp.
Lineage: Eukaryota; Fungi
Description: partial internal transcribed spacer region
Rfam family: Eukaryotic small subunit ribosomal RNA (bases 1-45)
Source: RNAcentral
AGUCGUAACAAGGUUUCCGUAGGUGAACCUGCGGAAGGAUCAUUAAAGGACCCGUCGGGAACAAGCCGGGCGACCGAAAGGUCCCCGGCCCCGUCACCCUGCUUAGAAGCCACAGUUGCCUCGGCGGCACGGGAGGGAUGGGCUGGCGCUCGAAGGGAGACACCGUUUCUCGUCGGGCCGCCUCCAGCCCCUUCCUCGCCGGAGGAACAGACCACGAAAAACUCUUUUGCGAUCGAGACCGGACCAGCGCCGGGCGUGAGCGAGAGGGUGAAGGAGCGAGGUGAGCCUGAAAGGGCUUCCCAAGUUCCGCCUGUCCACGUCCGAAAACACUGAACGAGAGAAUUUAAAUCAAAACCUUUGACGACGGAUCUCUUGGUUCUG